This is a long non-coding RNA of Cucumis sativus (cucumber), 389 nucleotides long. RefSeq lists it as uncharacterized. The transcript is spliced from 3 exons. The record is from RefSeq and is a predicted model, not a curated record. NCBI's taxonomy places the organism in Eukaryota, Viridiplantae, Streptophyta, Magnoliopsida, Cucurbitales, Cucurbitaceae.
GAAGGGAAGCGAUCCGCCCACCGGUAUUGGACUGUUGUCGGUAGACGCUACGAUUGCGCCACCUGUUACUCUUCCACGUGUCUGCUUCUGAAUUUUUGUUGCCAAUCCGGUAAUUACGCUGCAUGGCCAAAAAAGCCAAAUCUACUUCGUCUUAACAUCUAUGAAAGAAAUCAUGAGGACGUCAAUGAAGAACAUGAUCGUUCGGUUCGUGAAAUGAAUUGACGAGAAGAAAUCAAGCGUUAAGACCAAGUAAGGAAGAAAUGAAGGACUUGCUAGGUGAGAAGGCUGCCAAAGCAUUUACUUUCUAAGUUCAGGAGUUGUAUUAUGUUGUUAAGCUUGUUAUAAAAACAAUUCGCCUAGGUUUAAUAAAAGUUUGUAUGUUUACUUUC